AACGAACGCUGGCGGCAUGCCUAACACAUGCAAGUCGAACGAGACCUCCGGGUCUAGUGGCGCACGGGUGCGUAACGCGUGGGAACCUGCCCUUAGGUUCGGAAUAACUCCCCGAAAGGGGUGCUAAUACCGGAUAAUGUCUUCGGACCAAAGAUUUAUCGCCUUUGGAUGGGCCCGCGUUGGAUUAGCUAGUUGGUAGGGUACAAGCCUACCAAGGCGAGGAUCCAUAGCUGGUCUGAGAGGAUGAUCAGCCACACUGGGACUGAGACACGGCCCAGACUGGUACGGGAGGCAGCAGUGGGGAAUAUUGGAGAAGGGGCGAAAGCCUGAUCCAGCAAUGCCGCGUGAGUGAUGAAGGGGUUAGGGUUGUAAAGCGCCCUUACCCGGGAUGAGAGUGACAGUACCGGGAGAAGAAGCACCGGCUAACUCCGUG
RNAcentral lists this ribosomal RNA (433 nucleotides) under uncultured bacterium. RNAcentral describes it as "partial 16S ribosomal RNA". It matches the Rfam family "Bacterial small subunit ribosomal RNA", at positions 29 to 507 of the family's 1533-position model. The record is from RNAcentral.